UCGGGAAUAUUGCGCAAUGGAGGAAACUCUGACGCAGUGACGCCGCGUGCAGGAAGAAGGUUUUCGGAUUGUAAACUGCUUUUAACAGGAAAGAAAAAAAUGACGGUACCUGUUGAAUAAGCUCCGGCUAACUACGUGCCAGCAGCCGCGGUAAUACGUAGGGAGCGAGCGUUAUCCGGAUUUAUUGGGUGUAAAGGGUGCGUAGACGGAAAUGCAAGUUAGUUGUGAAAUACCUCGGCUUAACUGAGGAACUGCAACUAAAACUAUAUUUCUUGAGUAUCGGAGGGGUUUGUGGAAUUCCUAGUGUAGCGGUGAAAUGCGUAGAUAUUAGGAAGAACACCGGUGGCGAAGGCGACAAACUGGACGAUAACUGACGUAGAGGCACGAAAGUGUGGGGAGCAAACAGGAUUAGAUACCCUGGUAGUCCACACCGUAAACGAUGGAUACUAGGUGUUGGCAAUGAAUAAUUGUCGGUGCCGGCGCUAACGCAAUAAGUAUCCCACCUGGGGAGUACGACCGCAAGGUUG
Molecule: ribosomal RNA, 527 nt
Filed under: uncultured bacterium
Lineage: Bacteria
Description: bacterial SSU rRNA
Rfam family: Bacterial small subunit ribosomal RNA
Source: RNAcentral